CUACGGGGGGCAGCAGUGGGGAAUAUUGCACAAUGGGCGCAAGCCUGAUGCAGCCAUGCCGCGUGUAUGAAGAAGGCCUUCGGGUUGUAAAGUACUUUCAGCGGGGAGGAAGGGAGUAAAGUUAAUACCUUUGCUCAUUGACGUUACCCGCAGAAGAAGCACCGGCUAACUCCGUGCCAGCAGCCGCGGUGAAUACGGAGGGUGCAAGCGUUAAUCGGAAUUACUGGGCGUAAAGCGCACGCAGGCGGUUUGUUAAGUCAGAUGUGGAAUCCCCGGGCUCAACCUGGGAACUGCAUCUGAUACUGGCGAGCUUGAGUCUCGUAGAGGGGGGUAGAAUUCCAGGUGUAGCGGUGAAAUGCGUAGAGAUCUGGAGGAAUACCGGUGGCGAAGGCGGCCCCCUGGACGAAGACUGACGCUCAGGUGCGAAAGCGUGGGGAGCAAACAGGAUUAGAUACCCGCGUAGUC
This 465-nucleotide ribosomal RNA is filed under the name uncultured bacterium. RNAcentral's name for it is "partial 16S ribosomal RNA". It matches the Rfam family "Bacterial small subunit ribosomal RNA", at positions 339 to 795 of the family's 1533-position model. The record is from RNAcentral.